This 320-nucleotide long non-coding RNA is filed under the name Malus domestica (apple). RNAcentral describes it as "long non-coding RNA (MDOM_LNC011855)". Lineage: Eukaryota; Viridiplantae; Streptophyta; Magnoliopsida; Rosales; Rosaceae. The record is from RNAcentral.
AGACCGCCCUAAGAAAACGCCACGUAGUUGAUUAGCUGGUGAGUUGUGUGUCUAGCUUGUGUUUCUGGCUCAGUACAACUGUACAUCAUCAUCCAACACACACACAAACGCUCACGCGCCCACUAUCGCACUCGCCAACUGUUGCCUUUCCCUCUACGUCGCACGUUCUCGGAACUCCACUUUCUAUUUUCUUUUUAUUAAUGGGUAUUUAUCACAAAUAAUCUUUUAAAUUGAUCCAUCCCAUCUGUUCUUGAAAUUGAAAAUCGAUGUCGCAAAUCAAUGUAGUCUUUCCUUCAUAAUUCCGUUAAAAAUUCUUUUAU